Molecule: ribosomal RNA, 301 nt
Filed under: uncultured bacterium
Lineage: Bacteria
Description: partial 16S ribosomal RNA
Rfam family: Bacterial small subunit ribosomal RNA
Source: RNAcentral
CAGUAGCCGCGGGAAUACGAAGGGUGCAAGCGUUAAUCGGAAUUACUGGGCGUAAAGCGUGCGUAGGCGGUUUGUUAAGUCUGUUGUGGAAUCCCCGGGCUCAACCUGGGAAUGGCAAUGGAUACUGGCAAGCUAGAGUGUGUCAGAGGAUGGUGGAAUUCCCGGUGUAGCGGUGAAAUGCGUAGAGAUCGGGAGGAACAUCAGUGGCGAAGGCAGUCAUCUGGGACAACACUGACGCUGAGGCACGAAAGCGUGGGGAGCAAACAGGAUUAGAUACCCCAGUAGUCCCUGUCUCUUAUAC